AAACAACGAUAUCAACAAUGACAAAUGACACCAAUCCAACAAUACUGACCUUUACCCGACAGACCCGAUAUCGAGUUGGCAUCCCCACGCUAGUAUCCAUAACAGAAACGCCAAACAAACAACACCAACAUCAACGUUAAUAGCACCAACGACCUACUAUCCAGCAACCCAAGAUUUUGACCCGAACUCAACCCAUCGACCUGUGUAAACUAUAGAUCAGCCACUACUAUUUAAAAUUUCACCCCGUACUGAAUGGUACGAUUGCCAGCUCGACAAAUCUCUAUUCUCAAUUUCAAAAUUCGAAUUCCUCUUCCUAAAAUAUCAAAAUUACCCUUCAAUUUUUCUAAUCCCAUAUCAGUGGGAGCUCAAAAUAGAACCCUCAAUUCAUUCUAUGUAAAGCUCUCUUUGGAGCAAAUGGGGCAAUUCUUGAAGGUUGAGAGAAACUUUCAAGGAAAAAAGUCUAUUUUCUAGUAAAAAAAAUUAUCAUGAAAAGUCAACGAGUUUUCAGAGUCGCGGCAAAACUUUUCGGCGGUGGUCGAUUUCGUUGGUAGCUCGUAUCUCAUUUUGUUGCCUCGAAAGAGAGUCCACAAGGGACUCCCUCUCGUUGCAUAUUUUUGAAGGGGCCAGUGGAGCCUAUAUCCUCAAAACUUUAUCCAAACGUGUCCAUCAAGAUUCCUUAUGUAGUAUUUCUUGGAAGCAGUAAAGCUAAUCAUAAGAUCCACAAAUAUGUAGUACCUCAUAAAUUUAUGGUCCUUCAACAUCACCGUUGCAAGGAAAAAUUGACAUGGUGCACAUAUCUGAAAGUAUAGAUCAUACAAGACAGCAGUUUUAGGCUACUCCUGCACUAUAUUAUCAUUACUGAGUAGUCAUUGUCAUGUCAAUUAAAAGCAUAUUUGGCCUUUCAGUAUCAUCUGUUUCUUUACUAGUGAAAUGCUAAUAGUCCUUGUUUAUAAACAUCAGCUGGUUAAGCCUUCUCUUAGUUUGAGAGGACCCUAUGAUAUAGAAAUUUCAUGAUGACAUCUCUUGAUUUUACUACCUCUAUGAAUACUACACAAAAGUUACUUGAUCAUAAACAAAUGUUAUGUGUCAACAGCCUUAAGCCCA
Molecule: long non-coding RNA, 1104 nt
Organism: Capsicum annuum
Lineage: Eukaryota; Viridiplantae; Streptophyta; Magnoliopsida; Solanales; Solanaceae
Exons: 3
Source: RefSeq, a predicted model, not a curated record